Molecule: ribosomal RNA, 404 nt
Filed under: Actinomycetes bacterium
Lineage: Bacteria; Bacillati; Actinomycetota; Actinomycetes
Description: Actinobacteria bacterium partial 16S ribosomal RNA
Rfam family: Bacterial small subunit ribosomal RNA
Source: RNAcentral
UGGGGAAUAUUGGACAAUGGGCGCAAGCCUGAUCCAGCCAUGCCGCGUGAGUGAUGAAGGCCCUAGGGUUGUAAAGCUCUUUCACCGGUGAAGAUAAUGACGGUAACCGGAGAAGAAGCACCGGCUAACUUCGUGCCAGCAGCCGCGGUAAUACGAAGGGGGCUAGCGUUGUUCGGAUUUACUGGGCGUAAAGCGUACGUAGGCGGACUUUUAAGUCAGGGGUGAAAUCCCGGGGCUCAACCCCGGAACUGCCUUUGAUACUGGAAGUCUUGAGUAUGGUAGAGGUGAGUGGCAUUCCGAGUGUAGAGGUGAAAUUCGUAGAUAUUCGGAGGCACACCAGUGGCGAAGGCGGCUCACUGUACCAUUACAUACGCUGAGGUGUGAAAGCGUGGAGAGCAAACAGG